UACACAACUCGUCCAAAGCACCCUGCCCGUCGGGCGGCUGCGGAUUAACUCAGUAGACACGGCUAAGCAUGUAGUACCGAAAGCGGAACACUGGCGGACGGGGGUUCAAAUCCCCCCGGUUCCACCA
This 127-nucleotide transfer-messenger RNA is filed under the name Gammaproteobacteria bacterium. Its description in RNAcentral is "partial transfer-messenger RNA". It matches the Rfam family "transfer-messenger RNA", at positions 236 to 374 of the family's 374-position model. From Rfam's summary of the family: Bacterial tmRNA, also known as 10Sa RNA or SsrA, is named for its dual tRNA and mRNA-like properties. Its role is to liberate the mRNA from a stalled ribosome. Lineage: Bacteria; Pseudomonadati; Pseudomonadota; Gammaproteobacteria. The record is from RNAcentral.